AAAAUUGUAUAAUUAACAAGUCAGAGUAGUAUUAGUUAAGGUCUUGAAACUCAAAAAAUUUGGCGGUAUUUUAGUCUAUUUAGAGGAACCUGUAGUGUAAUCGAUAAUCCACGAUGGACCUCACUUAAUUUUGUUUUUCAGUUUGUAUACCGCUGUUAUUUGAAGAUUUUAUAAGAAUAUUAAUUUUCAUAGUUUUUAAUUAAAAAAUAUAUCAGGUCAAGGUGCAGUUUAUGAUUAAGAAUUUAUGGGUUACAAUAAAAUUAUUUAUACGAAUAAAAAUAUGAAACUAUUUUUUGAAGGCGGAUUUAAUAGUAAAUUUUUAAAGAUAAAAGAAUUGAUU
This 340-nucleotide ribosomal RNA is filed under the name Dolichopus campestris. RNAcentral's name for it is "partial 12S ribosomal RNA". The record is from RNAcentral. Lineage: Eukaryota; Metazoa; Arthropoda; Insecta; Diptera; Dolichopodidae.